UAAAAUUUCUACUGCAAAAAUUGAUAAGGC
This 30-nucleotide non-coding RNA is filed under the name Mus musculus (house mouse). The record is from RNAcentral. Lineage: Eukaryota; Metazoa; Chordata; Mammalia; Rodentia; Muridae.